CAGCAGCCACGGUAAUACAGAGGGUGCGAGCGUUAAUCGGAUUUACUGGGCGUAAAGCGUGCGUAGGCGGCUUCUUAAGUCGGAUGUGAAAUCCCUGAGCUUAACUUAGGAAUUGCAUUCGAUACUGGGAAGCUAGAGUAUGGGAGAGGAUGGUAGAAUUCCAGGUGUAGCGGUGAAAUGCGUAGAGAUCUGGAGGAAUACCAAUGGCGAAGGCAGCCAUCUGGCCUAAUACUGACGCUGAGGUACGAAAGCAUGGGGAGCAAACAGGAUUAGAUACCCCAGUAGUCCCUGUCUCUUAUAA
Molecule: ribosomal RNA, 301 nt
Filed under: uncultured bacterium
Lineage: Bacteria
Description: partial 16S ribosomal RNA
Rfam family: Bacterial small subunit ribosomal RNA
Source: RNAcentral